This 85-nucleotide transfer RNA is filed under the name Salmonella enterica. RNAcentral describes it as "tRNA-Tyr". It matches the Rfam family "tRNA". Rfam says of the family: Transfer RNA (tRNA) molecules are approximately 80 nucleotides in length. Their secondary structure includes four short double-helical elements and three loops (D, anti-codon, and T loops). Lineage: Bacteria; Pseudomonadati; Pseudomonadota; Gammaproteobacteria; Enterobacterales; Enterobacteriaceae. RNAcentral also lists the same sequence under 2 other names. The record is from RNAcentral.
GGUGGGGUUCCCGAGCGGCCAAAGGGAGCAGACUGUAAAUCUGCCGUCAUCGACUUCGAGGGUUCGAAUCCUUCCCCCACCACCA